GAUCUCACACAAUUCUGACGUUUUUUCCCGUUUCUCCAAACAUAAGAUUUAGAAGUUGCUCCAAACAUAAGAUUUAGAAGUUGCUCCAAACAUACAUUUCUAAGUAUUUUUGACACCCUGGGAUGACUCCUGCUCAACAUCGUUCUGUUUCUUCAAAUUUUACAUUUCGAAGUUGUCAAAAUUCAAAGUUAAGGGUUAAAGUGAACUUGGUAUUCGUCAUGUCCAACACCACCACGUUUCCAUGGUUCUGUAGUCAAAUAGAUAUAGAGGAAGAUAAGCAUUUCUAAUGACAUCAUCAGUUUGCAUCAUUUGAUUUUAACCAAUUAUGAGUAGGCAUUGCACAUACAGUAUGUUGAUGUUGGGGUGGUGCUGGAGAUAAUGAAUAUGACAUUUAAAAUUGUGGAAUAUCCCUUUAAGGUUAGGGUUAAAAUAUGAAGUUUAGACAUUCAUUCCGAAUGGUUAAGGUUUGGGUUAAGGUAAGGGUUAAGGUAAGGGUUAAGGUAAGGGUUAAGGUAAGGGUUAAGGUAAGGGUUAAGGUAAGGGUUAAGGUAAGGGUUAAGGUAAGGGUUAAGGUAAUGGUUAAGGUUUGGGUUAAGAUAAGGGUUAAGGUAAGGGUUAAGGUUUGGGUUAAGGUAAGGGUUAAGGUAAUGGUUAAGGUUUGGGUUAAGGUAAGGGUUAAGGUAAGGGUUAAGGUAAGGGUUAAGAUAAGGGUUAAGAUAAGGGUUAAGGUUUAAACAAUCAUCUUC
RNAcentral lists this long non-coding RNA (746 nucleotides) under Salmo salar (Atlantic salmon). RNAcentral's name for it is "lncRNA (ENSSSAG00000098870.1, ENSSSAG00000101696.1)". The record is from RNAcentral. Lineage: Eukaryota; Metazoa; Chordata; Actinopteri; Salmoniformes; Salmonidae.